Molecule: ribosomal RNA, 315 nt
Filed under: uncultured Catenomyces
Lineage: Eukaryota; Fungi; Chytridiomycota; Chytridiomycetes
Description: partial large subunit ribosomal RNA
Rfam family: Eukaryotic large subunit ribosomal RNA
Source: RNAcentral
AUAUCAAUAAGCGGAGGAAAAGAAACUAACAAGGAUUCCCCUAGUAACGGCGAGUGAAGCGGGAAAAGCUCAAAUUUGAAAUCUUGCAGGUAUCCUGCACGAAUUGUAGUUUAAGGAAACGUUUUUCGGGUCUGGCGUGGGUACAAGUCCUUUGGAACAAGGCGUCAUAGAGGGUGAGAAUCCCGUUCUUGAUCCACAUCCCAGGCCUGUGUGAUACGUUUUCCAAGAGUCGGUUUGUUUGGGAAUGCAGACCAAAAUGGGUGGUAAAUACCAUCUAAAGCUAAAUAUUGGCGAGAGACCGAUAGCGCACAAGUA